RNAcentral lists this ribosomal RNA (301 nucleotides) under uncultured bacterium. RNAcentral's name for it is "partial 16S ribosomal RNA". It matches the Rfam family "Bacterial small subunit ribosomal RNA", at positions 509 to 807 of the family's 1533-position model. The record is from RNAcentral.
CAGUAGCCGCGGUAAUGCGGAGGGAGCUAGCGUUGUUCGGAAUCACUGGGCGUAAAGCGCACGUAGGCGGCUAUUCAAGUCAGGGGUGAAAGCCCGGGGCUCAACCCCGGAACUGCCUUUGAAACUAGAUAGCUUGAAUCUUGGAGAGGCGAGUGGAAUUCCGAGUGUAGAGGUGAAAUUCGUAGAUAUUCGGAAGAACACCAGUGGCGAAGGCGACUCGCUGGACAAGUAUUGACGCUGAGGUGCGAAAGCGUGGGGAGCAAACAGGAUUAGAUACCCGGGUAGUCCCUGUCUCUUAUAC